This 272-nucleotide ribosomal RNA is filed under the name Lachnoclostridium edouardi. Its description in RNAcentral is "partial 23S ribosomal RNA". It matches the Rfam family "Bacterial large subunit ribosomal RNA", at positions 2650 to 2925 of the family's 2925-position model. The record is from RNAcentral. Lineage: Bacteria; Bacillati; Bacillota; Clostridia; Lachnospirales; Lachnospiraceae.
GGCGUAGGAUAUUUGAGAGGAGCUGUCCUUAGUACGAGAGGACCGGGAUGGACUGGCCGCUGGUGGAUCUGUUGUCUUGCCAAAGGCAUAGCAGAGUAGCCAAGCCGGGACGGGAUAAACGCUGAAGGCAUCUAAGCGUGAAGCCCCCCUCAAGAUGAGAUAUCCCAUCGCAAGAGUAAGACCCCUUGAAGACGACGAGGUAGAUAGGGCGGAGGUGGAAGUACAGUAAUGUAUGAAGCUGACCGUUACUAAUAGGUCGAGGGCUUAACCAG